UACGGAGGAUCCGAGCGUUAUCCGGAUUUAUUGGGUUUAAAGGGUGCGUAGGCGGGAGAUUAAGUCGGUGGUGAAAUUUUGCAGCUCAACUGUAAAAGUGCCAUUGAUACUGGUUUCCUUGAGUGUGGAUGAAGUAGGCGGAAUUUGUGGUGUAGCGGUGAAAUGCAUAGAUAUCACGAGGAACUCCGAUUGCGAAGGCAGCUUACUAAGCUACUACUGACGCUCAGGCACGAAGGCGUGGGGAUCAAACAGGAUUAGAUACCCU
This 265-nucleotide ribosomal RNA is filed under the name uncultured prokaryote. RNAcentral's name for it is "partial 16S ribosomal RNA". It matches the Rfam family "Bacterial small subunit ribosomal RNA", at positions 524 to 788 of the family's 1533-position model. The record is from RNAcentral.